RNAcentral lists this ribosomal RNA (486 nucleotides) under uncultured bacterium. RNAcentral's name for it is "partial 16S ribosomal RNA". It matches the Rfam family "Bacterial small subunit ribosomal RNA", at positions 30 to 507 of the family's 1533-position model. The record is from RNAcentral.
AUUGAACGCUGGCGGCAUGCCUUACACAUGCAAGUCGAACGGCAGCACGGGUGCUUGCACCUGGUGGCGAGUGGCGAACGGGUGUGUAAUACAUCGGAACAUGUCCUGGAGUGGGGGAUAGCCCGGCGAAAGCCGGAUUAAUACCGCAUACGAUCUACGGAUGAAAGCGGGGGACCUUCGGGCCUCGCGCUAUAGGGUUGGCCGAUGGCUGAUUAGCUAGUUGGUGGGGUAAAGGCCUACCAAGGCGACGAUCAGUAGCUGGUCUGAGAGGACGACCAGCCACACUGGGACUGAGACACGGCCCAGACUCCUACGGGAGGCAGCAGUGGGGAAUUUUGGACAAUGGGCGAAAGCCUGAUCCAGCAAUGCUGCGUGUGUGAAGAAGGCCUUCGGGUUGUAAAGCACUUUUGUCCGGAAAGAAAUCCUUGGCCCUAAUACGGUCGGGGGAUGACGGUACCGGAAGAAUAGGCACCGGCUAACUACGUG